CUCCGCUAUUCCAACCUGCAGUUCCUCGGCACCUUAGACAACGAUCCGGAGAUGCCCGUGGCAAGCGAGUACCAAGUGUACGACGAAACGGAUCGGUUCAACAAGGUGGUGAACGAGUUGAUGAACAGUACGGCGGAUUGGGCGGCGUACAACUCGACGAAGAGGUAUGCGACUGGGCUGGCGAUCAACGCGACACACGCGUUUCCAAAUAUAUAUGGCCUGGCGCAAUGCACUCCGGACAUGUCGGCGAGUGACUGCAGGCAAUGCUUGGAGGGAGUGUCACAGGGUCUCCCGAUGGGGAGAUUGAUAGCUGAAAAUCUGGGAGUGAGGUGCAAUUUAAGGUACAAAGUUGGCCCCUUCUUCGAAGGCAACCCCAUCAUAAGGCUUGUUUUCGCCGUGACGAAUGGAACAACGCCUGCGGAGAAUGCCACAACUCCGGCCUCUGCUCCAGCAUCGCAGCCAUCUGUCGGUUCAACCAGCAAAGAAGGUAAUGACGAACUCCAAGCGUCAUCAACUUUCCAACUAUAUAAAUUGCAUUGUAAAUAUUGAUUCUUGCCUUUUCCAUCAAAAGUUGUCCAUCCCAAUCUUUUGUUAUGUACAAUUGACUGUUCUUUUAUGCAAACACCAUCUUUAACUUUAAACAUAUAAAAGGUAUUCAUUGAUUUGUACUAUUGUCCUACAUAAAACUAAUCGAAAUAUGCAUCGAUAACACUAUACAUGUAAUUGCGACACUGUUACGAUAUAUACAGAACAUAAUUGCAGUAAAAGAUUCGAGAAAGACACAGAUAACAUUUCCGGUCAUAUGUAUUUCCCAUAUGUCCAAUGCUUUCAAAAUCACACAUGGAUAGACAAUUUAUUUUUUCCUUUUUCCUUUUGUGUCUACUAAUACAUUUCAUAACGGUGCAGGAAAAAAGAAAACAAUUCUAGCAAUUUCGAUAUCUGCGGUGAGCGCAGUACUGCUAAUCCCCAUUAUUUACAUUUGCUACAGGAGACUGAGGAAGCAGACAUCGAAAUCACCUUGUAAGUGACUCGAUCAUUUUUUUAAUGUGCUGUUUCCUUCAUUUCAAUCAUCUGGUGCUUGUGGAAAACCAUGUGUAACAUGCUCGAAAUUGUCAUAGAUGGGACUGAAUCGGAGCAGGCCACACAAGUUGAGUCAUUACUAUUUCAUAUUUCUUCACUACGAGCUGCAACAGCCAACUUCUCGGAAGAAAAUAAACUUGGAGAAGGUGGUUUCGGAGCAGUUUACAAGGUACAAUUCGAUAUGCUGAAUUCACUUCACAUUUAUCCUCUUGUUCCAUUCUUCCUCUUAAUCAUGAGAUAUUGUACAGGGAGUGCUCCCAGACGGACGAGAAAUCGCAGUGAAGAGGCUGCUGAACUCUGGGCACGGACUUGGAGAGCUUAAAAAUGAGUUGGUUUUGGUCGCUAAGCUCCGGCAUCGAAAUCUUGUAAAGCUUCUGGGAGUUUGCUUGGAGGAAGAGAAGAUGAUUGUCUAUGAAUACGUGCCUAACACAAGCCUCGACAAGUUUCUUUUUGGUGAUGAUUCGCCUUUCUCAUAUUUACUUCCUACACUCUUUAACGUAACAUGUUUGUCUUAAUUCCUUUUGCAUGCAACAGAUCCUGUCAGAGGCAAACAACUAAACUGGGGAACCCGACACAAGAUCAUUCAUGGGAUCGCUCGAGGACUGCUCUAUCUGCACGAGGAAUCUCAACUAAAAAUCGUACAUCGGGACAUAAAAGCCAGCAACAUCUUGUUAGAUGCAGAGAUGAACCCCAAGAUCACAGAUUUUGGUUUUGCAAAGCUUUUUGACGUUGACCAGACUCAAGCCACCACCAAUCGAGUUGUGGGCACUUUGUGAGUGGACUAACUAAAUUGUGUUCUCAGGGAGGAAGGAAGCUAUAUACUCUUUGCGUGCCUUGACCAACCUCACUUUUGGUUGCAGCGGAUAUAUGGCACCAGAGUAUGUGAUGCAUGGCAAGUAUUCGAUCAAAUCAGAUGUAUUCGGCUUCGGUGUUUUGGUUUUGGAGAUUUUGACUGGAAGAAAAAGCAGCGGUUCCUAUAAUCCUGAGGUUACCGAAGUCCUUCUAAGCUAUGUAAGUAGCCAAGUGGAUUCACAGGUCACAUUGAUUGCUUUUGCAUUUCUACUGAAGUAUUUUCCAAACAGAAUAAUCACAUAAAAGAAUGAAUUUGGAAUUAUAUUUUCUUCGAUGAAGACAUGGGAGAAAUGGCGGGGAGGAUCGGCGUUAGAGAUCGUAGAUCCAACCUUGGGUGCUCACUACCAACGAAGCGACCUAUUAAGAUGCAUGCAUAUUGGGCUUUUAUGUGUUCAAGAAAAGCCGAAUGAUAGGCCAACUAUGUCAACAGUGGUUGUGAUGCUAAAUAGUGAGACUGUCUCUCUCCGAGCUCCUUCACGGCCUGGAUUUUAUCUGGGAAAUGGUGGCAGGAAUGCAAACUUCAAUCCGAGUAACUCCAAUCAUCCAAUCGGUACAUCUGACCGAGGAAGUAAGUCAUGCCCAAUGUCAUCAAACGAAGUUUCAAUCACAGAAAUGGAACCUCGAUAGAAAUGGAAGGACAAUGUUAAUAUUUCUUCAACCACAUAGCCACGUACGCAUGUGAAUGUAAGGAUUCUUAUUCCUAUUUUUUGGUGUCAUUGUCGCACAAGAGAAUUACACAUUCGUAGAGCUAAAGUUUGAUUGUUAACAUAUAUAGCUUAAUUUUGCGAGUGGCCUUACUAAAUUGUGUACUCAUAGAAGUAUGUUCGGCGAAAUUCGUCGAAUAGGCCAACCAUGUCGAUAAUAGUUGUGAUGUUGAACACUGGAAUUGCCUCUCUGCAUGCUCCUGCAAGACCUGCAUUUUACGAGGGAAAUGAUGGCAUGAACGCAAACUUCAACUCGACUAACUCUAGUUUUCCGAUUGGUGUAUCUGAUCGAGAAUGUAUGCCAUUUCCAAUGUCGUCAAAUUGAGUUCUAAUCACAGAACAAGCGCACAGGACAUCGAUGUUUAAUGACCCUUUAUGUUUCUCCUGAUAUCGAUCGCAUCGACCAAAGUGUCGUAUGAUUGUCAACCGCAUUGGCUCCUCAGUGUCGUAUGAUUGUCACUUCAGCGUGACAUAUGAUUGUCGCACAUGGCCAAUAAAAGGCCGACACAUGACCAAAGUGUGGUCAACGGAUGAUCGACACAUCGGCAAUCACCCUCCCUAAUCGUAAUUGAUGAUGAAAGUAUUCGUCCGAGGAACUCACUGUAAAAUGGCCUUCUCAGGUAUGCUCCUUCUCAUCUUUUCCUAAUCGUCCGAGGAACUCACUGUAAAAUGGCCUUCUCAGGAAUGCUCCUUCUCAUCUUUUCCUAAUCGUCCGAGGAACUCACUGUAAAAUGGUCAGAAUCCUCUGUAACUUAAGUAUUGGAGUAGUGUUUAUCGACGAUGCUCCCGAUGUAGCUAUGCAAGGUUCAGCCUCAUUAGAGUCCAAUGAAUUUUGUACUUCAAGAUUGGACUUACUGUGAUCCUUUAUGUAGUGGCUUGGUAGUCAACACGAUUUGAGGUAGAUAUGAGAGCGAGAUUGAAGCAACGGUGGGUGUCUCCUGGGCUAGCCCCGGGAGAAGUUAGGAUUGCCUUUGGCGUUGAGUCCCGGCGUAACAGGUCGAUACCGAGGGAGGGAUUUUCGACUUGACCUCUCCGAAGUUUUGUACGAUCUUAAGCAUGACUGUGCAUCGUUCUCGAAUCUACUUCGUUGCUUCGAGGUCAUAUCGGGCGUGUACGCCAUAUCAACUCUAAGAUGCCAUAUUGAUUCCGAGGUGACUGUCGACUAUCAUUGUGAGGUGAUACCAAAAUAUUUCUUAUCAUGAUGAAUAUGGUAUUGGUUGAGAUCAACUUACAAAUGUGGAAUGAACCUUGAUUAACUCCAAAUCUAUACCUACAUCAAACAAUCAAAUUCUGCAUUAACAUGAUAAAAGAGAAUAAAAUUUUGAUUCAAUACAAAUUUGUUCCUAGUCCGAUUAAUAUGUUCAUCCAGCAAUAUCCCCUAAUAAAUGUUAUCCGAAAGUAAUUUAUAUAAGAAGGUGAUGGUGACUAACGACACAAAAAAUGAUUUUAAGGAUCUUAAUAAUUUAUAAUUCAUAUUGAAACAUCAAAAGUCAUUUAUAAAUAAAUUCAUGCUACAUAUAAUUUCGAAAACCGAACUUUUUUUCUUUUUUUUGAAAACCAAACUAAAAGUAGGGCAGAGUUAUGUUUCCUGGUCGUAUGCGCACGUGUCUAAUUCGCAGCGGUGUAGACUCCAAGAAAAGUUAAUUACCCAUUGACUCUGACCCAACGGAUCCAAAAUGAUAUCUUUCGGAGGCGGACUUGCAAAAACAGAGAGAAGAUAGUGGAAUGCAAUUAAGCAACGACAGCCGUAAACUUCCGAAGACAUCGAUUGUUCUCAGAGAGGGAGGGAGAUGCAGUUAAGCAAGAACCGUCCUGAUCUUCUAAUUUCACUUUUCUCAAUGCUAACGCUAGUGAUUCUGAUUCAGAAAUUUCUUUUAUUAAACAUGCAUGGCCUUGCUCAAGAUCAAUCUGACGUCGGAAAUCGUGUUUGUACAAGAUGAUAUAGUUAAAGCGAGAAAGAAAGCACAAAAUUAGCUGUGGAGAUGGUGUGAUUUCUUAUUCCGGAAUUUGAAUACACCUUUUUCUGUUCACAAGUUGAAUGAACUCGUUUCCACCGUGGGGCGUUGCUCAUGCAUACCGAUGACUCUAACACGGUUUACUUUAAUGUUGACGUUGACGACGACUGCUAUCAGCUGCCUGCAUUAUUCCGUCCGCCUAAUAAACUUUCGACUGAUGCUUUCGUGAGUAAUAUAAUAUAUUCAUGUUGUUAAUCCAAAAGGUCGUUCUCUGCUUCCUGUAGUAAGUACGACUGGACCUUUGAACAACUUUGAGAAUUUGCGACGGUGUUGCGUUGGAGAUCAAAUAAAAGUUUUGAGCAAGUUGCUGUUAUUUUACACCUUCUUCUUCUUCUUCCGAAUCUUGUCAACUGCGGUGCAUGUGCCUCCGUAGUCCAGACUUAGUCAACUAAAGUUGCGGGGUUUGACGAAAGAUUUUUUAGAUCUACUCUGGAAGAGUAGGAAAUUAAUUCUGUCAUGGAAGAUGAGUAACUCAAUAAAGAAAAUAAUAUAUAAUAAGUGAAAAAAAAUAAAAACAUUACUGUCCCGGAGACUUUCUCUAGUGAAUAUAUCCAAUAGAUUUGAACUUCAUCGUUGUCAGUUUUCAUCGUUAAGAUUGAUUCAGUCUUUCUGAAUUCUCUUGAGCCGAGUCAAUAAAAAGAGACGUGUUGCCAUAUUCGAUGCACCUACCGAAUACCACUAUGUUUCCCUCGAUCAGCUCCACCCAGUUUCUGCUCCUCUACCUCAUCCUCCUCUUCGUCCCCUCUCCGACCGUUGCCUUCACGUGGCAAGUUUGCAGCACAAGUGCCGGCAACUUUACUGCCAACAGCACGUAUGAGUCCAACCUCAACCUCCUCCUCUCCUCCCUCGUCUCCAACGGUUCCGCUCCUGGCUUCUUCACCGACACCAUCGGACGGAUACCCAACCAAGUUCAAGGCCUCGUCCUUUGUCGUGGUGAUACUAACGCCACCACCUGCAGCUCCUGCCUCAGCAACGGCGCGGUCGAGAUCCUCCAGCUCUGUGCCUACGACAAGGAUGCCGUGGUUUGGUAUGACGAGUGCCUCCUCCGCUUUUCCAACCUGCAGUUCCUCAGCACCUCAGACAACGACCCGACUGCUGCCUUGGAAAACGAGAUCGCCGUAAACGACGAAGCGGAUCGGUUCAACAAGGUGGUGAACGAGUUGCUCGACAGCACAGCGGAUUGGGCGGCGUAUAACUCGACGAAGAGGUACGCGACUGGGCAGGCGUUCAACGUGACGCUGGCGUUUCCAACUAUAUAUGCCCUGGCGCAAUGCACGCCGGACAUGUCGGCGAGCGACUGCAGGCAGUGUUUGGAAGGGGUGUCGCAGGGGCUCCCGAUGGCGAGAAUGGGAGCUAGGAAUCAGGGAGUGAGGUGCAAUUUAAGGUACGAGUCUAGCCUCUUCUUCCAAGGCAACCCCAUCAUACGGCUUAUUUCCCCUGCGACGAAUGCAACAACGCCUGUGGAUAAUGCCACAACUCCGGCCUCUGCUCCGGCAUCCCGGCCAUCUGUCGGUUCAACCAGCAAAGAAGGUAACGAUGAACUCUUAGCAUUAUCAACUUUCCAACUAUAUAUAUAAUGGAUUCUUGCCUUUUCCAUAUAAAGUGUUCUAUCCCGAUCUUUUAUUAUACAUAAGUAAUUGUUCUUUUAUGCAAACAGCAUCUUUGAGCAUAUAAAAGUUGUUCAUGGAUUUGUACUAUUGUUAUACAUAAAAUUAAUUGAAAUAUGCAUGGAUAGCAAUAUACAUAUAACUGAGACACCGUUACGAUAUAUACAGAACAUAUUCGAAUAUGUAGGGAAACAGAUGAUGGGCAAAGAUUCAAGAAACUGGUCGAUUAGGCACCACAGCGGAGUUUGUCGACAGAGACACGGAAGACAUUUACAGUCAUGUGUUCCUCAUAUGUCCAAUGAUUUCAAAAUCAGACGUGGAUAAACCAUUUUUUUCCCCUUUUUUUGUGUCUACUAAUACAUUUCAUCACGGUGCAGGAAAAAAGAAAACAAUUCUUGCAAUUUCGAUAUCUGCAGUGAGUGCGGUGCUGCUAAUCUCCAUUAUUUACGCUUGCUUCAAGAGAUUGAGGAAGCAGACACCGAAGCAACCUUGUAAGGGACUGUAUUAUUCCUGAUUUCCUCUCUCCUCCAUUGCAAUCGGCUAGCUCUCGAGGAAAACCAUUUGUGACAUGCUUGGAAUUGUUUGCUUUGUAAUAGAUGCAACUGACUCGGAGGAGGCCACACAAGUCGAAUCACUACUAUUUGAUCUAUCGACACUACGAGUUGCAACAGUCAACUUCUCGGAGGAAAAUAAACUUGGUGAAGGUGGUUUCGGAGCUGUUUACAAGGUGCAUCGACACGAUAUGCUCUUCAUAUUUCUAAUUCGGCACUCGAAUUCACUUGGCAUGCAUCCUCUUGUUCCAUUCUUCCUCUUAACCAUGAGGCAUUGUACAGGGACUGCUACCAGAUGGACGAGCAAUAGCAGUAAAGCGGCUGUUGAACUCUGGGCAAGGACUUGGAGAGCUUAAAAAUGAGUUGGCUUUGGUUGCUAAGCUCCAGCACCGGAAUCUCGUAAAGCUUCUAGGAGUUUGCUUGGAGGAAGAGAAGAUGAUCGUCUAUGAAUACGUGCCUAACACGAGCCUCGACAAAUUUCUUUUUGGUGAUUCGCCUUUCACAUAUUACUCGUUUUCUGUGUUACUUAUCUGCAGCUAAUUGGUAAAAAAGAACUGCAGCUAUCCAUUACUCGUCUUCUCCUCGUCUUAAUUCCUUUUUCAUGCAACAGAUCCUGCAAGAGGCGAACAACUAACUUGGGGAAUUCGAUACAAGAUCAUUUGUGGGAUCGCUAGGGGCCUGCUUUAUCUGCACGAGGAAUCUCAGCUAAAAAUCAUACAUCGAGAUCUAAAGGCCUGCAACAUCUUGUUGGAUGCAGAUAUGAACCCAAAGAUCUCAGAUUUCGGUUCAGCUAAGCUUUUCGAUGGCGAGCAAACUCAGGGCAUGACGAGUCGAGUUGUGGGAACCUUGUGAGUGGCCUGACAGACUGGACUAGUGUACUUGCAGCAUGCGGUAUCUAUAAUUUGUGCUUCCUAACUAAUCUUCACUUGGUUGCAGUGGAUACAUGGCACCAGAGUAUGUGAUCCAUGGCCAAUUUUCGAUCAAGUCAGAUGUGUUCAGCUUCGGUGUUCUGGUUUUGGAGAUUUUGACGGGAAGAAAAAACAGCACAGCUUGUAAUCCUGAAAAUACUGAAGACCUUCUAAGCUAUGUAAGUAACCAAGUGGUGUCGUAGAGUGCAGAUAUUGAUUGCUUAUUGGAUUUCCACGGAAGUCUUUUCGAAACAGAGAAUGAACUUGUAGAUAUGUUUUAUUUGAUGCAGACAUGGGAGAAAUGGCGAGGAGGAUCAGCCUUGGAGAUGGUAGAUCCAGCCUUGGGCAAUCAAUUCCAUGGGAGCGACCUGUUAAGAUGUAUGCAGAUUGGGCUAUUGUGUGUGCAGGAAAACCCGUUUGCCAGGCCUAGUAUGUCGACAGUCGCUGUGAUGCUAAGUAGUGCAACAGUGACUCUGCAAGCUCCUUCACAACCUGCAUUUUGUUAGAUAGGAUUUUAUUACAAAAAUAAAUCAUGAUAAGAUUAUCAUGAUUCUCUAAAUAUUUUGAUAAUAUGUUAUUAUGAUUUUAAGUCAUAAAAAUUAUGAUAACAUAUUAUCGUGAUUCCAUCAAAUAAUGAGGAUAUAAUAUUCUACAUCGUGAAAUGAUUUAGAUACAUGUUUUAUAUUUAUUAUUGAUCGAAAAAAUUAUGUAAUUAUCAUAUUUUGUAAUAUAUUUUUAUGUAUAUAAGUUCAUAUUCACUAUUAAUAAAAAAAUAAGCUAAUUAUUUCUUUCACAUUUUAUGUGGAAAAUAGUGGCACAAAAGCAAACUUCAAUUCGAAUAACUCCAAUAUAUAGGGGAGAGCCCUGCAUAAGCAUCGCAAUAUUAUAGGCACUCAAGCAGGGGGGAUGACCCGAGAUCAAGAUUGUCUCCAACUCCAAAGUUUGGAUGAAAUUUUACAACUACAAAGUUUGGAUGAAUCCCUCGACGCCUGCUUCAUCCGCACAGGAAUCUCAGCUUAAAAUGAUAUAUCUUCAUGACAUGCAUUUUAUGUGGGGAAGGAUAGAUUGAAUGCAAACUUCAAUUUAGAUACUGAGAGAGCUAAUGCUAUCGAAAGUUUCACUUACUAAUCUCGAGGAAUACAAUGUUCCAUUGUCGACCAGCCAAACCAGCUACUGUGUUUCAACAUGAAGCAAGAUCUGUGACUGUCUAUUGUCGAGGUUCCAGUACAGUAAUUGAGACUUCAUUUAUUGACGUUGAACUGCCUUCUCUCUCGUUCUUGAUUUCUGGAGACCUAUUUCCUGUGGAUUCAUUUGAAUCAGUGGUUCCACUUCUCUCAAUGAGAAAUCCAGGAGCAGAAGGAGAUGGAGUAGUCAUCGAGGAACUGCUCAGCAUGAGAACAACCGAUGCCAUGGUGGGUCUCUUCGAGGGGUUUUCUUGAACGCACAGUAACGUCGUGCGUAUGCAUCGCAAAGCUUCUUCCCUUUGAAACCUGCCACAUAAGUUUUGAUCCACUAUCUGCAACGCCUUCCCUUUGUUCCAGUACUUCCAUGCCUGUUUAACGCGUACAGUCGCUAAUAUGCAUUAGAAUCAUCAAUCAGUCAUCGAUCACAGAUUGCCACGAUCUCAUUGUCGAGUGAAGAGAGGAAAUGCUUACAUAGCUCUGCAGGUUUGCGCGAUGACCUGAUCCACGAAACUCGCUGAUUCUUCGACCAGUUAUAAUCUCAAGCACCAACACUCCGUAGCUGUACACAUCUGAUUUGUCCGAGAAGUGCCGAUGCAAAGCAUACUCUGGAGCAAUGUAUCCGCUGCACAAUGCCACAGAUGAACAGGGGGGACAACAACGGAGGUGCUUUUCAACUAAACGAAUUCAAAGUUUUGACUCACUUUGUUCCAACUAUUCGGCUAGCACUCUCUUUUGAUCUGUCUUGGUCGACCAACAGCUUUGAAAGACCAAAGUCAGAUAUCUUGGGGUUCAUGUGCUGAUCCAGCAAGAUAUUACCGGGUUUUAGAUCUCGAUGAAUAAUCCUUAGGCGGGAAUCCUCAUGAAGGUAAAGAAGUCCUCUUGCAAUCCCUUCGAUGAUCUUGUAGCGCCUUUCCCAGUUUAGUUGACCACAUUUUGUGGGAUCUGCUUCACCGUGGUUGAAUGAGUUCAUUGGCAAUUAGUUCAUUAGCAAUCUUACAGUAAAAGAAAAUGGCAUGGACACUAAUAGGAGCUCUUCGAUAAUACAUCCGUUAGCAUCUCAUUAAAAGCUUUGUUUUCAGAAAAUUAAGAAGAUGGAGGAGGAUCGUACCAAACAAAAUUUUGUCUAGGCUUCUGUUUGGGAGGAACUCAUAGACAAGUAGCUUCUCUUCUUCCGAGCAAAAACCGAUGAGCCUCACAAGAUUUCUAUGCUGAAGCUUAGCAAUAAAUGCAACCUCGUUUCUUAGCUCUGCAAAUCCUUGCUGUGAGCUUCUUGAGAGUCUUUUCACAGCUAUUUCCUGGCCACCUGAUAGUACGCCCUGUUCCAUAUUUUGGGUAAGACGAAGCACUGUUGUAAUUAAAUGUAGACAUAAAGUAUGCAGUGUUUACUGCAAAAAAGGAUAAACCACUGGCUUUAACCAUAUAUUUGACCUUAUAAACCGGUCCAAAUCCCCCUUCUCCAAGCUUGUUUGCGUCCGAGAAGUUAUUGGUUGCAACCUUCAGUGUCUCAAAAUCAAAUAACAGAGAGUUUGCCUUUUGACUUUUCGCUCCUCCAACAUCUGAUGAUCGUUAUAUAAAUUUUUUUGUUAAAAAAAAAAGAAUUGGUUUUGGCAAAAUUUUAACAUCUAAAUGAAUAAGAAACAAAAAACAUAGAUGGAGUCAAAUAAAUUUACAUACUCGACUUUCUGGCAAAUAUUUUCGUCCUCCACAAAAAAAUCAAAAGCGCAGCGACAAGCAUCACAGCACCGAGGAUGGGGAUGACGACAGCCACUACUAUUUUAGAGUUCUGCUUUUUUCCUGAAUUAAAACGAUAAACAACAUCUGAUGAAUAUUUCCAUCUUCUUAUAAUUAAAUUUUAAUUAUGUACAACUUGCAACAAUUGGUAGGAAAAUAUGGAUGAAUCGUUUGUAAUACAUAAUUUAAUUAUGUACUGUAACUUGCCUGCAUCUCUCGCUGAUGAUGACGAAGAGUUGGAGUCCACCACAGCAGGCGGAGGCGGUGGAUUGGCUGUAGCGCCAGGCGGAGGUGCCGAAGAGAGUGCAGAUGACAGCGGAGGCAGUGGAGAUGUCGGGACUGACAUAUUAUAGUAUGAAUAGGUCUCGUACCUCAAGAAGCACCUGUACUUCAACACCACUCCUCCCUGGUUUUUCCAGCAACAACUCUGCAUUGAAGCCAACGACUGCCGAAGACACUGAAAGCAGUCAUCAUCAGACUGAUCCCUGGUGCACUGCACCAAUCCAUACAGAUUGGUGAAGCUCGUAAAUUUGGCUUCUCCGAUGGCGAACAUGCUGUCCGUCUUGUAGGCAGCCCAGUUGAUGAGGGCAUUCAUCAAUUCCCCCACCAGAUCCACGAAUCUCGACGUCUCCGAAACUUCUCCUACGUUGUAUAAGAUUUGGGAAAAGGAUGAUUUGUUGCUCUCGGCCGAGAAAUUUGUGUUGGAGUAAGCAAGGAAGCAGUGAUCUCCCCAGGUAGCCGCAUCUUUUGCGUAGGGGCAGCGACUAUGGAGGGUGUCGACGGCGGUGGCGAGGCAAGCUUGGCAUUUAUCUUGAGAAACGUCGAGUUGGCAAAGCGCCAGGCCGAAUACUUGGUCUGGGGAACUCCCUGCAGAUCUGUUCGCGUAUCCGGAGGAGACGGUGGCCGAGGUGAGGGACGGGAGGAGGAGGUUGAGGUUGGAAUGGUAGGUGCUGUUGGUGGUAAAGUUGGAGUCUGUGGGACACCUUUCCCAUGAUACAGUGUGGCGUGCGUUAUAGAGGGAGAGGAGGAAGAGGAGCUGCGCAAGUAUCCGGAAGUAAUUCCAGGAAUGCAUCGUGCAACUGGUUGUCCUCCGUUGUUUUUGGGAUGCCGUGGAGAGAGCAUAGAGAGACGUAGCUAACUAUCUAUAAUAUAUUUGGAUCAAAGAUUAAUUUGCAUGGUCGCCGUAGUUUGUUUCAUUGUAGUACCGUCCAAUACACACUAGAAAACGUCGCACACAAAUGAUAUACUCACUGGGGUGGAAUUGGUCCAUGACAAGUUAGGUUCAGAGAAAUUUAUUUCAUAGCAAUGAUGGUCAUAUAAAGUUAGAUGACCGAAGAAUACGUGACAAUGGCUCGUUGUUCCUUUGAACGGCCACUUCGUUCAAAUGUAGAGGGAUCCGAGUCAAAAGGACUAGAAGGGGAUUCCUGUGAUUGAAGUGAUGCGAGUCUUGUUGACUUUGUUUCCACGCGUAGGACGCAAUGACGCGGAUCAACAACACUACAAUUUCUUAUCGAACGAAGACUCCCCAGCAAGAGAUGAUUUCGGCAAAACACCCAUUUACUGCAAGCGGCAAAAUACUUCUUUCUUCCUUGCGUGUCUUUUCGUCACAGAAAAUAGGAGGAAAGGACACCAAUGAGACCUGAUCCAAAAUUGGAUUUGACGCUAAUAAAAUAGCUUCCGUAGUGUAGAUAUAAGUUUACAAGAAAGAAAAUGAAUGUUUUAGUAAAUUAAGUUUCUAUUUCAUUCAGUCAAAUUAUCUUCUUUCAUUGAACUCUAAAAAUAUCAAUAAAAUAUUUACAAAAUAUUUUUAUAAAAUAUCAAUAAAAUUUAUUUUUCUAAAUAAAAAUCUCGGACAAUCACAAACUUCUUUUUAUGCGGGAGUUCAAGCUGUACCAAGUUAGUCCAACUUAUAAAUUUGAAGAUAAUGAAUUACUAGCUUCUUGGAAUAGAUGGGUGGCAAACGGUGUGCUUUUUUGUUAUAUUGAAUUAAUAGAGACUCGACAUAUGGAGUCCAAUCAAUUUUGUAUCGAUGAUGCAUCAACCAAGUGCAUCACUUCGGUAUGACAUUCAAAGAGAAUAUUCUUCGUGCUAAUACGAAGAAUCCUCCCCAAGUAUGUUUUGACUUGAGCAUUCUGAAUUUAUAUAAUUAAAAUAGAUAUAUCAAACUGCUCAUAAAUAUUUUUUUCUCGUAACGAACAAGCAAGCAAAGACUUGACUAACAAACACGUUUUGGAGAAUAAAUCAUCGGCAUAGUCUUCGGUAGAAACUAAGAAACCAAAAUAUGAAAUACAGAUAUCUUCUACUCUACUCUCAAAUUGAAGUUAGAUGCGAGAUAUAGAUAUUUUCCUGUCCUCAAAUAAAAUUUACCUCCAAUCAGUCUAAAUUGUUUUUCUUUAUUAAUACGACAACACUCAAAUAUGAACUAAACGGUGUGUUGUUUGUUUAUUUUUUGUGCCACAAUUGUUUCUGAAGGUAUAAAGAUGAUAUCUUAAUUUAAGAAGCUGGUUUUGUGAUGCAAGUGCUCAUUCGGGUUCAUGUUCUGCCAAGCAGGGACGACUGCGGGCAUGCAAGAUCAUUUGGCUUCGUAUCAUCGUUAUCAGGGCAGCUCGUUCUGAGAGUUUGUGCGUGUCAAGCCACUCGAAAGCAAGCGGACAGGCAAUCGCACAGGCCACCUCCGAUGGGAUGACCCAAUGUCGGCUGCUGUUUCAAGCACCGCGACACAUUCUAGGGUACAUCACAUUCACAACAGAAGAGGCUUUUGGGCUUUCUCGGCUUAAUGGCAAACCAAAAAGGUUUGAGCCAUAUGUUGGGUUCUUUGGCAGAUCAUCUGACAUUAUUCCAUCGAGUGCCGUCGUCAAUUUUGCCCGACCAAAGUUCUAUCGAUAAUAAUUAGCCAAAUCUGGAAAUGUUCUUAUGGAGGGCAAAAAGGAAAGAGUCAUCACAACUUUAGGAGAGAAAGCCAAAGAAUCCUCUAAAUGAUCCAAAGUCAUUCUUUUGUCAGAGAAUAAUAAAAUUCUCAUCAAAUCAUUUGAUGUAUCCAAAGUCAUUCUUUUGUAUCCAUUUUCUGUCAUAAAUGAAUCAAACUUUCUGUAUCACUGUCAAGCUUGCUUAAGCCAUACAAGCUCUUCCUCAACUUGCAAAUGAAGUUUUCUUUACCUUUGACUUUGAAGCCUUCUAGUUGCUCCAUAUAAAUUUUCUCCUCUAAGUCACCAUGAAGGAAAGUCGUCUUCAUAUCUAAAUGUUCAACCUCCAAGUCCUAGCUAGCAGUAAUACCAAGAGCAACAUGAAUAGAAGAUAUUUUAAUAACAGGAGAAAAAAUAUCUUCAAAAUCAAUAUAUUUCUUUUGACCAAAACCUUUCACAAUCAAUCUAGCUUUGUACUUUGGUUGAUGAAAAUAUUCUUGAGUCUUCAACCAAAAAAUUCACUUAUUCUUCAAAACCUUCAUUCCCUUUAGUAGUUACACCAAAUAAUAAGUGUGGUUCUUCGAGGCUUUCUAGACCUACCCAUUUCUCGUUUUAAUUCCUUUUUCAUGCAACAAAUCCUAUAAGAGGCGAACAACUAAUUUGGGGAAUUCGAUACAAGAUCAUUUAUGGGAUCGCUAAGGGCAUGCUUUAUUUGCACCGCCUGACACAUUGUCACUGGGUGGUACCACUACCCAAUCUGGUGGUACCAUUGCCUGAUAGCCUCGGAGACCGGGUUUUUCAAGUUUUCCAACUCACAAGCAGUUCCACCGCUUGACCCAACUUUUGGGUCACUAAAUGGGCCUUCGAAUGAGCCCAAAUUAGUCCUAAUUAAGGCCAAAUUGACCCCUAAUUGAGUUAGCAUGAUUACAUCGAAAGCUAACUCAAUUAGCCCCCUAGACUACUUCGAUCUUAGACAAAUGAUUAUAAAGCAUGAAUCCUUUGUUCGAUAUAUCAUUGGUUCAUCCGACACCUCGUUUGAUUCUUCGUCGUAUCAUCCUCUCUUGCGGUUUAUUGUUCAAUUGGCUAGUUGACCUUCGCAACUCCGAUUUCCUUGGCACAAUUUCCACUCUUCUUGGCCCGAAGCCUUCUACCGAUAUGUCGACCGAUCCUCUGGCUCGACGUCCAAUCUUCUGACAUGUUACACUCCGGCCCAACAUGAUUCUUCCUACUUUAAUCAAUUUAUCUCUCCUUGAUCAAAGCUAGUCCUAUAUCACUUAAAUUGCAGUUUAGAUCACAAACUCAUCAAUUGAUUUUAUCAUCAAAAUCCGAGGUUCAAUAAUCUCCCCUUUUUUUAUGAUGAGAACCAAUUGAUAACGAAGUUUAAACUAUACUCCCCCUAUUAAUAUGUCAUAUUGAAAUAAGACAUCAUUCAAAUAAACGAUGACCUUUUAGUCUAAGUUGAAACUAUUUUAAUCACAUCAUAUGCAAUACAUCAUAUACAUCAUCAUAAUAAAAUCAUGAGUAUUGCAUGCAAUACUUCAAAACAUAAUGUAUAUUUUCAAAAUCAUCAUUACAUGCAUGAUCAUCAUACAUAAUUUUAAAUUAUCAUUUUAGGCAUAAUAUGCAUGAUUAUCAUCAUAUAUUCUUCCCCUUUGUCAUUAACAAAAAGGAGAAAUGCAUCUACCAAGUUUUUGAGAUAUGCAAGUUUUAUAACAGAUAAACUAGCAACAAUUUUGAGUUGUGCAAGAUUACAAAUUUAGCUUCCUUUUUUUUUUGAGAUAGCAAGCUAGCAAUAUAGCAAUGCAUCAUUUUAGAAUAUCCAAUCUAGCAAUUUUUUGUCUUUCUAUGAAAUGUGCAAGCUAACAAGUUUUAACUUUUUCUUGAAUUGUGCAAGUUAGCAUAUUUUAUCUUUCCCUUUGUCAUUAUCAAAAAGAAGGGAAAAAUAUAAUUUUAUAAUUAUUUUUUCCUUUAUAUCAAUUUUCACAUAUUGACAAAGAUAAAUUUAAAACACAUGUGAUGAGGUAUAAAAUUUAUAAAUGCAAGGGAGUAUCAUAAAUAAAUCAUAUCAUGAAAGAUAUAAUAUCAAACAUCAUUUGAAUACCAAAAGACAUGAUUCAUUUUUGACAAAUCUCUUUUUUUGUAAAUAGCAAAAGGAAACGUAAGGAAAUGAUCUUGAUUUAAAAAGAACACUUAAGUCAAAAAAAUCAAGAAAUCAAGAUCAUGAUCUAAAAAUUGUAUAAGAAGAGUUUAUGCAUUUGAGAGACUUAAGUUUAUCAUUCAAGCUAGCAUUUUUUUUGUUCUCUUUUGCAAUGUGCAAACUAACAAUUUUUCUCUUAUUUUACAAUAAUAAUUCAAUCAUAUCAUAAGUUAUACAAAUCAUAAAUAUUUCAAAUCAUGAUGGUACCAAAAUGUCAAAUUAUAUCAUAUCAUGCAUGAUCAUAAUUUCUUAUUUGUAUGCAUCGAACAUAAUAUCAUGAGUAUUUCAUGCAUAAUUUCAUAUCAUCACAUGAAGAAUAUCAAGAAAAAAUAAUUGGGUGAUGAGAUAUAUACUUCGUGAAUACACGAGAGUCAUGAACCAAAUUUCAAAUUGUGAAUAUCAAAAAAUCAAAAGAAAAAUUAUGAUUCUUUUUUAAUGACUCAAAUAGCGAAAAGAAGAAUCAUAGUAUAUGAUCUUAAUUCAUUAAAAAAAAUCUCAUGUUAUAAUUAAAAAAAAAUCAAGAUCAUGUUAUAGAUAAGACUUAUUCAAAUUCAAAUAAUCAAAUCAUCAAAAUUAUUUUCAAGAGAUUCAAAAAGAAAACCAUAGAUAGAUCCAUUAAUCUCUCUUUUUUUCAUCAAUGAUUCAUUUUUAUCAUGAGAUAUACAAAUCAUAAUUACAAAGGAGUCAUAUAAAAAUCAUGAAAUAAAAGAUAUUAAUAUGAAACAUCAAUUCGUGAAUGAUUCAUCUUGAUAAAUCUCUUUUUUUGUAAAUAACGAAUAGAAUUGCAGGAGAUCAAAUAAAAUAUCUUGAUUCAAUUAAAUCUCAAAUUAAUAACGUCAAGAAUCAUGAUUCAUUUAGAUAAUUUUUUUCUUAGACAAGUAAAUCAUACACGAAUCAAAAAAAUAUUUCAUGUAAAAUACAUCUCAAGUCACAAACAUCGAUAAAUCAUUCGAUUGGAUAUAUCAUCUCAUUAUUAAAAUGGAUCAUAUGAAAAGAAAUCCAAAAUUAUCAUCAAAAUCACUUUUUAAAAAAUUUAAUAGAAGUAACAUAGAUAGAUUCCUAUAAGAUUAAAGAUUGUUCAAGUUCUUUUAGUUCCAAAUUUUGUGAUUGAUUUUAUGUUCAAGUCUUUCAUACAAAAGCCAUGUAUCAUCAUUUAUAAUCGAAAAGCAAUAUGAAAAUCAUAGAAAUCAUGAAGCUCAAUAAACCAUAAAUUACCGAAAAAUCAUCAUUACUUCAAAUCAUCAUGCAUAAUUAUAAAAUCAUUAAGCAUGAUACCAAAACUUUUUAACAUUUUCAUUAUAUCAUUAUAUCAUUAUGCAUCAUUAAAUCAUCAACAUGAUUUCAUUAAACAUGAAAUUUUAGUCAAAAUCAUUUUGUUUGUUAUAGUAAUACAUUUUUUUUAAGUGAAUCUAACUUUUUAUUCUUAGUUCUAGGAGUUAACAUGUAAUUAUCAUACUCAAAAUUUUAAUUAUUAUUAUUUUAAAAUCAUUAGAAAGAGAAGCGUGAUAAUUUUUUAUUUUUUAUACUAACUAAUUUAAAAAUAAUUCAUGAAAAGCAUCAAGUAAUUUCAAAAUAAGGUAAAGGAGAUUCGUUUAAGUUGUUUACCUCUUUGUCGAGAGUUAUCAAAGCGAAGUUCACAACUUCGUCUUCGGAUGCACUCAUUUCAUUCUCCACUAUCGCCUUGAGUGCUUUAUUCUUUGGUUGUGGACAUUUGCUUUUGAAGUGUUGCAGUCGAUUUCAUUCAUAGCAAGUUGUUUUGUCAUCUUUAAGUUUACUUUUAUUCUUUAAUUCUUGUUUUAUGAAUAUUUUAAAUUUUAUUGUUAGGAGUUCAAAAUCAUCAUCAUCAUCACCUGAGUUAUCACUUAAGUGAUAUUCUAUUGUUUGAAGUGCCAAAUCCUUUCUGUUUUUUGAAAAAUUAUUCUUAUGUUCGAUUUAUUCCAUACAACUCAUUUUAUAGGUCAUUAAAGAUCCGAUAAGUUCUUCAAAUGGAAAAUAGUUCAAAUCUUUCGCCUCUUGAAUGACCAUUACUUUAGGGUCCUAACUCUUUGGAAGGGAUCUCAAUAUUUUGUUAACGAGUUCAAAGUUAGAAAAACUUUUUCCAAACCUUUUUAAACUAUUGACGAUAUCCGUAAAAUGGGUAUACAUGCCAAUAAUAGUUUCACUUUUUUUUUCAUUCAAAAAAAUUUAAAAUCAUACAUUAAAAGAUUAAUCUUAAAAUCUUUUACUAUACUAGUGCCUUCGUGUGUGGUUUCAAGAGUGUGCUAAAUGUCAAAAGCGGUUUCACAAAUAGACACUUGAUUGAACUCAUUUUUAUCUAAAGAGCAAAACAAGGCAUUCAUCGCUAUGAUAUUUAAAGAGAAAGUCUUUUUCUCUAAAUCAUUUCAAUUGUUCAUUACGAGAGAAGACUUUUGAAAUCCGUUCUCAAUGAUAUUCCAUAAAUUAAAAUAUAAAAAAAGUAAGAAAACUCUCAUUCGAGCUUUCCAAUAUAUGUAGUCUGUCCCAUUGAACAUGGGAGGAUGAAUGAUAGAGUUACCCUCUUGAAAGCUAAAAAGAGUCAUUUCUCUUGAGUGUUAAACCAAACAAAAAAUAAUAUAAUUUUGAUACCAAUUGUCAGGAUCAAGAGCGACACUAAGAGGGGGUGAAUUAGUACAAUGGAAAAAUUACAUCGAUUUAAAAAUCUUUGUACGAUAAAAUUCGAGUUCGAUGAAAAUCGUUUCAGUUUUCUUGAAUGAGUUGAGAAGAGGGAAUUAGACAGUUAGUAAUAAAGUAAAGUUAAAUGCAAUAAAGAGAUUAAGUAGUAAGGAAUGAACACAUCGGAAUUUAUAGUGGUUCGAUCGUGUGAUCUAUAUCCACUUCUGAUUCCUCCUCCAUCGAGAUCAUCGUCGUCCACUAAUGGUCUUCUUCCAAUAGGCGAAGACUAACCACCUCUUUACAGUGCUUUUUCCUUUUCACGGGUUUAGAAGAUAACCCUUACAAGUCACUAUUUUACAAGUAUUCCCUCACACACCUCCCUUAGGACUAACUCUAAGUACUAGGAGGAGGGAACUCAAAGUUUUGAUAAAAUUUACUCAGUUUUUUCCUCAAGAAUUCUUGUCCCUUUUUUACUGCUCAAGUGGGGUAUUUAUAGGCCCCAAAUGGUUUAAAAAAAAGAGCCAAAAAUUUAAAUUUUUUAGUCUUCCGGGUACGGGCGGUACCAUCGCCUGCAAAGGGUGGUACCACCGCUUGCACUAGGCGGUACCACCACCUGCACUAGGCGGAACCAUCGCUUGUAGCCUGACACUAGGUGAUACCAUCGCCUGACACACUGUUACUAGGUGGUACCACUACUUGACAGCCUUGGAGACUAGGUUUUUCGAGUUUUCCAACUCAUAGGCGGUUCCACCAUCUAGUGGUGCCAUCGCUUGACCCAACUUUUGGGUUACUGAAUGGGCCUUCCAAUGAGCCCAAAUCAGUCCCAAUUAAGGUUCAAUUAACCCCUAAUUGAGUUAGCAUGAUUAUACUUAAAGAUAACUCAAUUAGCCCCCUAAAUUACUUCGAUCUUAAACAAAUGAUUACAAAGCAUGAAUCCUUUGUCCGGCAUGUCAUUGGUUCAUCCGGCACCUCGUCCGAUUCUUUGGCGCAUUGUUCUCUCUUAUGGCCUAUUACUCAAUCGGUCAGUUGACCUUCGUAACUCCGAUUUUCUUGAUACAAUUUUUACUCUUCUUGGCCCGAUGCCCGAACCCAUGGCCCGAAGCCUUCUGCUGAUACAUCGACCGAUCAUCCGACUCGAUAUCUAAUUUUAUGACAUGUUCCAUUCCGACCCAACAUGAUUUUUCAUAUUUUAAUCAAUUUGUCUCUCCUUGAUCGAAGCUAGUCUUGUGUCACUCAAAACGCAGAUUAAAUCAUAAACUAAUCAAUUGAUUUCAUCAUCAAAAUCCAAGAUUAUUAUCUCCAACUCCAAAGUUUGGAUGAAUUUUUACAACUCCAAAGUUUCGAUACAAUAUCCAACUCCAAAGUUUGGAUGAAUGUUGAAUCCCUUGACGCUUGCUUCAUCUGCACAGGAAUCUCAGCUUAAAAUGAUACAUCUUCAUGACGUGCAUUUUAUGUGGGGAAGGAUAGAUUGAAUGCCAAGUUCAAUUUAGAUAUUGAGAGAGUCAAUUCUAAUGCUAUCGAAAGUUUCACUUUCUAAUCNNNNNNNNNNNNNNNNNNNNNNNNNNNNNNNNNNNNNNNNNNNNNNNNNNNNNNNNNNNNNNNNNNNNNNNNNNNNNNNNNNNNNNNNNNNNNNNNNNNNNNNNNNNNNNNNNNNNNNNNNNNNNNNNNNNNNNNNNNNNNNNNNNNNNNNNNNNNNNNNNNNNNNNNNNNNNNNNNNNNNNNNNNNNNNNNNNNNNNNNNNNNNNNNNNNNNNNNNNNNNNNNNNNNNNNNNNNNNNNNNNNNNNNNNNNNNNNNNNNNNNNNNNNNNNNNNNNNNNNNNNNNNNNNNNNNNNNNNNNNNNNNNNNNNNNNNNNNNNNNNNNNNNNNNNNNNNNNNNNNNNNNNNNNNNNNNNNNNNNNNNNNNNNNNNNNNNNNNNNNNNNNNNNNNNNNNNNNNNNNNNNNNNNNNNNNNNNNNNNNNNNNNNNNNNNNNNNNNNNNNNNNNNNNNNNNNNNNNNNNNNNNNNNNNNNNNNNNNNNNNNNNNNNNNNNNNNNNNNNNNNNNNNNNNNNNNNNNNNNNNNNNNNNNNNNNNNNNNNNNNNNNNNNNNNNNNNNNNNNNNNNNNNNNNNNNNNNNNNNNNNNNNNNNNNNNNNNNNNNNNNNNNNNNNNNNNNNNNNNNNNNNNNNNNNNNNNNNNNNNNNGCAGUCAUCGAUCACAGAUUGCCACGAUCUCAGUGUCGAGUGAAGAGAGGAAAUGCUUACAUAGCUCUGCAGGUUUGCGCGAUGACCUGAUCCACGAAACUCGCUGAUUCUUCGACCAGUUAUAAUCUCAAGCACCAACACUCCGUAGCUGUACACAUCAGAUUUGUCCGAGAAGUGCCGAUGAAAAGCAUACUCUGGAGCAAUGUAUCCGCUGCACAAUGCCACAGAUGAACAGGGGGGACAACAACGGAGGAGCUUUUGAACUAAACGAAUUCAAAGUUUUGACUCACUUUGUUCCAACUAUUCGGCUAGCGCUCUCUUUUGAUCUGUCUUGGUCGACCAACAGCUUUGAAAGACCAAAGUCAGAUAUCUUGGGGUUCAUGUGCUGAUCCAGCAAGAUAUUACCGGGUUUUAGAUCUCGAUGAAUAAUCCUUAGGCGGGAAUCCUCAUGAAGGUAAAGGAGUCCUCUUGCAAUCCCUUCGAUGAUCUUGUAGCGCCUUUCCCAGUUUAGUUGACCACAUUUUGUGGGAUCUGCUUCACCGUGGUUGAAUGAGUUCAUUAGCAAUCUUACAGUAAAAGGAAAUGGCAUGGACACUAAUAGGAGCUCUUCGAUAAUACAUCCGUUAGCAUCUCAUUAAAAGCUUUGUUUUCAGAAAAUUAAGAAGAUGGAGGAGGAUCGUACCAAACAAAAUUUUGUCUAGGCUUCUGUUUGGGAGGAACUCAUAGACGAGUAGCUUCUCUUCUUCCGAGCAAAAACCGAUGAGCCUCACAAGAUUUCUAUGCUGAAGCUUAGCAACAAAUGCAACCUCGUUUCUUAGCUCUGCAAAUCCUUGCUGUGAGCUUCUUGCGAGUCUUUUCACAGCUAUUUCCCGGCCACCUGAUAGUACGCCCUGUUCCAUAUUUUGGGUAAGAUGAAGCACUGUUGUAAUUAAAUGUAGACAUAAAGUAUGCAGUGUUUACUGCAAAAAAGGAUAAACCACUGGCUUUAACCAUAUAUUUGACCUUAUAAACCGGUCCAAAUCCCCCUUCUCCAAGCUUGUUUGCGUCCGAGAAGUUGUUGGUUGCAACCUUCAGUGUCUCAAAAUCAAAUAACAGAGAGUUUGCCUUUUCACUUUUCGCUCCUCCAACAUCUGAUCGUUUUAUAAAUUUUGUUGUUAAACUAAAAAAAAUGAAUUGGUUUUGGUGAAUUUUUAACAUUUAAAUGAAUCAGAAACAAAAAACAUAGAUGGAGUCAAAAUAAAUUUACAUACUGGACUUUCUGGAAAAUAUUUUCGUCCUCCACAAAAAAAUCAAAAGCGCUGUCACAAGCAUCACAGCACCGAGGAUGGGGAUGACGACAGCCACUACUAUUUUAGAGUUCUGCUUUUUUCCUGAAUUAAAACGAUAAACAACAUCUGAUGAAUAUUUCCAUCUUCUUAUAAUUAAAUUUUAAUUGUGUACAACUUGCAACAAUUGGUAGGAAAAUAUGGAUGAAUCGUUUGUAAUUUAAUGCAUGUACAUAAUUUGAUUAUGUACUGUAACUUGCCUGCAUCUAUCGCAGAUGAUGACGAAGAGUUGGAGUCCACCACAGCAGGCGGAGGCGGUGGAUUGGCCGUAGCUCCAGGCGGAGGUGCUGAAGAGAGUGCAGAUGACAGCGGAGGCAGUGGGGAUGUGGGGACUGACAUAUUAUAGUAUGAAUAGGUCUCGUACCUCAAGUAGCACCUGUACUUCAACACCACCCCUCCCUGGUUUUUCCCGCAACAACCCUGCAUUAAACCCAACGACUGCCGAAGACACAGAAAGCAGUCAUCAUCAGACUGAUCCCUGGUGCACUGCACCAAUCCAUAAACUUUGGUGAAGCUCGUAAAGUUGGCUUCUCCAAUGGCGAACAUGCUGUCGGUCUUGUAGGAAGCCCAGUUGAUGAGGGCAUUCAUCAAUUCCUCCACCAGAUUCACGAAUCUUGACGUCUCCGAAACUUCUCCUGCAUUGUAUAAGAUUUGGUAGAAGGAUAAUUUAUCGCUAUCGUUCGAGAAAGUUGCGUUGGAGUAAGCAAGGAAGCAGCGAUCUCCCCAAGUGGCCGCAUCUUUUGCGGAGGGGCAGCUACUGCGGAGGGUGUCGACGGCGGUGGCGAGGCAAGCUUGGCAUAUGUCUUGAGACACGUCGAGUUGGCAACGCGCCAGGCCGAAGACUUGGUCUGGGGAACGCCCUGCAGACGUGUUCGCGGAGCCGGUGGAGACGGUGGCCGAGGUGAGGGAUGGGAGGAGGAGGUUGAGGUUGGAAUGGUAGGUGCUGUUGGUGGUAAAGUUGGAGUCUGUGGAACACCUUGCCAAUGAUGCAUUGUGGCGUGCGUUAUAGAGGGAGAGGAGGAAGAGAAGCUGCGCAAGUAUCCGGAAGUAAUUCCAGGAAUGCAUCGUGCAACUGGUUGUCCUCCGUUGUUUUUGGGAUGCCGUGGAGAGAGCAUGGAGAGAUGUAGCUUACUAUAUAUAAUAUCUUUGGAGCAAAGAUUAAUUUGCAUGGUCGCCGUAGUUUGUUUCAUUGUCGUACCGUGCAAUACACACUAGAAAACGUUGCACACAAAUGAUUUACUCAGUGGGGUGGAAUUGGUCCAUGACAAGUUACGUUCAGAGAAAUUUAUUUCAUAACAAUGAUGGUCAUAUAAAGUUAGAUGACCGAAGAAUACGUGACAAUGGCUCGUUGUUCCUUUGAACGGCCACUUCGUUCAAAUGUAGAGGGAUCCGAGUCAAAAGGACUAGAAGGGGAUUCCUGUGAUUGAAGUGAUGCGAGUCUUGUUGACUUUGUUUCCACGCGUAGGACGCACUGACGCGGAUCAACAACACUACAAUUUCUUAUCGAACGAAGACUCCCCAGCAAGAGAUGAUUUCGACAAAACACCCAUUUAAUGCAAGCGGCAAAAUACUUCUUUCUUCCUUACGUGUCUUUUGGGUAAGUAUCAAAAGGCAUGUUUUUCCUGACCAAGAAACGUGUAUGUUCGUUGAUAAAGAGGGAAGAAAAACAUAAUUAAAUUUAAGAAAGAAGAGAUUAAUCGAACAAUCUCGCUUGCAUUCCCAGCAUACUCUCCCCUCCACUAAGGUGCAAUUAAGCAACAACAAUCUUAACUCGUAAAUUUUACUGUUGUGGCAGUUUCCGAUUAAGUUUCUUCCUUUUUUAUAUCUAAAUCUGGUCAAGAUUCUAAGAUUUAUAUAUUGUAAGAUAAGUCGGCAACCGUGUUUUUGCAGAAAGAUUUUGUCAGAGAGACAAAGUGAGCACUCUUUGCACAGGCAUAGCACGUAACUAAGAACCCUUGGCACGAGGUGUCAUUUCGGAUAUGACAGUCAAACCCAUAUGUUAAAGGCAGUCAUGCGACUCAUAAUUUUAUUAUUUUAUCCGACAUAUUGACUAUGAUCAUCUUUUCAUUUCAAGAAGAGAUAAUGGCUAGCUAGCCAUUGCCUUUCGAAUUUGCUUGUUAUCAUAUCUAAUACAGCAUACUUUGGACUGUUGCAAACUGAGUUGGGCUGAUUGAGCCAAUCCAUAUUUGGGCCCUAAUCCAAAAAAUAUAGGUGAUUUGAGCCGGCAAUGCCUCGAUAUUCCUCCUCUCACAUUGUCUCUGAUUUCAGAUUAGGUAUAUAAUUUCAAUCAUUUCAGUGAUAAAGCUUUACUGACGCAGGAAAGCAACAACUGCGUGAAAAUUUUAAUCAUCUUAGUUUAUUUUUUCCCAUCAAACAACCAGUCUUCCAAAGAGGAAGAAGAAUCAUCAACCAAAAUGCAAAAAAGAGAAGUCAACGUUAAUUAAUUAUCUCCUAACAACUAGCAAGAAUGAGGUCAACAUGUAGAUGGGUUCUACGUAGAAUAAUCAAAUAAAAAAAAGGCACCAGAAGUGUAAUGCCUACCACGUUACUUUGCAUUGGACGGUUGCUUCCAUGUCGGAGUUGCAUUCCAACAUUUUGCUUUGAAUUUGGCAAUCAAUAUGUUUAAAUAAGCAUGAUGCAGUAAUUUGGAAGAGUGUUCUGUUCAUACCUUUAGGACAUGUCCACCACAUACCAAUAUGACCUAAUUAAAAUGAUUUAAAAUCAAAAGUCCAUGUACCAACAUGUUUAAAGUGCUUCUACGAAGUCUUUCUGUUUGCAGCGCCUAUUUAUAUCGUCUUUCUUGGCGUCCGAUUCCUACGAGUUAAAGAUGGCGGCAACACGAGCAGUUGCAGCAAUCGUAACAGUAGCAGCUCUCCUUCAUGUAGCCAUCGCCACAAGGUACACAGUCGGAGGGCCGAAUGGAGGAUGGAAUACAAUCACGGACUUGCAGGCAUGGGCAUCAACCAAGAGAUUUGCUCCUGGAGACAGCCUAAGUAAGUUCGCAACCAACAACAUGGCGCUUUCUGUAUAAGACGAUAUCCAAUUUGAUGAAGCCAAUCAAUUUGUAGUCUCUGAAACAAGGUUUCAUUCGUCUCCGCAGUUUUCACGUAUACAUCAUCCCAUGACGUGCUGGAGGUGACAAAGGCAGCCUACGACGCAUGCUCUGCAACCACUCCAAUGGAGUCCCACACCGGCGGCAACACUGCGAUCAAGCUUUCGGCCCCCGGCAAGAGAUACUUCAUUUGCGGGGUGCCGGGCCACUGUGCAGCGGGGAUGAAGCUCGAUGUUGACGUCAUCUCCACCGCCGUGGGAGCUCCACCGCCGAAACACCACUAUCCUCCUGCAGCGCCCAAGUCAACAUCUAACUCGCCUUCCGAGCCUCCCAUGGUUGCACCAUCGAGAGCCCCUUCGGCUUCAUUCCCACCGAUGAGUCACGCGCCAGACGUUGCGCCUUCCAUGACAUCUGCAGCUCGCGGUUGCAAGCAGUGCGCGAAUCUUGCCGUGGGUCUGGCAAUGGGAGUUCUGUUGAUUUUGGCUGCGUGAGGGAAAAGCUGACCAGUGAAAUCAUGUUUUGUGAGCCAUGGGAACUAUACUUUCACUUUUCAUUUCAUUUCGUUGUGUAAAUGAGGACGACCAUUAUUGCAGGUAUGCUUACCAAAGAUGCUCGGGAGAUCUUAUCCCAUGAGUCUAAGUUAAACUAAUUAAUAUUAAUAUACAACAGAUUUGAUAUUGACUCUCGUAUUAUAUUAAUAAUUAAAUAAUUAUAUAUCUAAUUUAAAUUAAUUAGGAUAUAUAUAUAUAUAUAACAUAAAAUUAUGAGGGUUUGGUUCGAUCAAGUUUGUAAUAUUCCGAUUAAUUUCAUAUUAAAAUUGGAUAAUAUAAAGAUUGAGAGUCUAGUGAAUAUAUUAUUAUCAAUUUAAGUAUUUUGAUAAGUGAUUUUGAUUAAAUAAAAUUGAUAGAUCAGUUAAUUCAUCAAACUCAAGUCAUGACAAAAUUAAUAUUAAAAAUAAUUUAUAUCGUUCGGUCUGAUUGAAGUUUAUCAAGUGAAAAGAUCCAAUCAAAAUUUUCAUUAUAUCUCUUCCUUCUAAAUAUUAAUGGAAUUUAAAAACUUAAAUUUGCUGAAUUACUAGUCAAAUUAUAUGAGACGCAUGGAUGUUGUGGACUUCUCUUAUUUUCCUUUCGUUUUGGUGCCAAAUUAUAUUGCCUAAUCUAAACUGAAAAAUAACACCAUGGUCCUAUUAUUUUAUUCAUUAUCGAAUCAAAUCCUUAAUACAUCAUAUAUACAUGUAUUAGGUCAGUUUUCGAUUAUCCUAUAUAGAAGUUGACUAGAUCUAAUUUGAUUUUUUUUUCGAUUUCAAGUUGGAUCAUCUUGUGGAAGCAUCCAAAUCACGUAGAAACUACAUCAAAAUUAUUUUAAUAUGAGAACCUUAGCAGCAUAAAUGUUGUAAUAAAAAGACAUCACAAAAGUAGAAUAUUUUAUCAAUUCGCACAUAUGUUGAGAAUUUAUCAGCGUUGUUUGUUAGAUAAGCGUGAUUUGAUAUACCGAGUCCAAUUAGUAUGGGUGAUGCAUCACUUCGAUAUGACAUUCAAAAGAAUAUUUUUCUUUCAUUUAAUCGAUGGUUAUACAAAGAAUCCUUCCCUAGUAUAUCUUGAGCAUUUUGAAUUUAUAUAAUUAAGAUAGAUAUGUCUAACUGAUCAUAAAUAUUAUUUCUCACAAUGAACAGACUUAAUAACAAACACUUUUUAAGUUGGAUACUAGAUAUAGAUAUUUUCGUAUCCUCAAAUAAAAUUUGCCUCUAAUAAGUAUAUAUAUAUAUAUUUAAUUGAACAAUACUAAAUAAUUUCUCAUGAGUCAAUAUGAUCGAAUUAAAUACUGACUUAUUAGACCCAUGGUGUUCCUCAAUGGGAGGGAGCAUGGAUAAAGAUUAUUCGUUUAAGAGCGAUGGAAUCAUAUUGAAGUGAAAGUGAAAAAAAGGAUAAAAAAAACAAAGGGGAGGAGGUGGACGCUCAUCAUCCAACGGUUUGGUUUGCCUUAGAGAAGAGAUCUCUCUAGUGUAGGCCCGAGCCGUCAGAGGUUCAUGAUCCAAAAGCCAGGAGCCACCCUGGAUCCCUCUUAAGAAGGAAAGCAGAAUGGUCUGGGUGCUCGAGAUCCAUCGCCAACCUCAGAGAUAUCAUCCAUGGGAACAAGAAGCACCUUGACAAGCCACCAAGUUAGCAGUCCGAGGUCCAUAGGGAGUAGCGAGUUCUUAAACCCACUCGCCCACGAGUCAAGCCACCAAGUUGCAGUCCGAGGUCCGUAGGGAGUAGCGAGUUCCUAAACCCACUCGCCCACGAGGUCAUUGUCGACCAGUUCAGGCGUGAGCCAACGAUAAGUACCGGAUACGGAGCCUGCCAUGAGGAUGAGGCAAGACGGCACUAUUCUCUGCUCUGCUCCUGUAUAACCCUUCUUGUAGAAGGGCCACCAGCACUCCAACCGGAAAUGCUUCAUCUCUCGCUACUGCUUUGCUUGGAAAUCAUGUUCACCAUGCUGCUUCAACACCAAGGUUCUCUCAUCAGACAGAUCUGCAGAAGUCCUCUGCUGCUGUGACCUGCCAAAAAAUUAGGGAGAAGUUUGUGAAGCGGGAGAGUUUGGAGGCACACCAUCUGUCCAAGCAUGCAGGGAUUAUGUUAAUCCUAUUUCAUGGCUUGAAACCCAGCUGGUUGACGAUUUUUCAUGUUUCCUAGAAUUCUUUUCAUUUCUUUCUCGCAUCACCAUCUUUUCUCGAAGAAGAUAUCUCUGACUUGACUGCGAUUCUCUUCCAUAUCUAGUCAGUGAACUCGUGGAAGGCGACUCCUCCAGAAAGAUAGUAGAAAUAAUAUGCAGAACAGGCUGGUCGAAGGCCGAGCGCAGUUGCCGUCGGAUUAAGAGGGUGCUGAAGGUCCACAACAAGCAAAAGUCUCCUGCUCGCUUCGAGGAGCACAGGGAAUUGGUCAGAACAAAAGCCAGAAAACUCCCGAAGAAACACCGCAGAUGCUUGGCCGACGGCAACGAACUACUAAGGCUCUGGCACCACCAUUGCCUGUUCUCUUGGCAUGACGGGCGGCUCUUCGAGCCUUUGCGCAUCGGAGAGACAUGGAUUCUCCACGGAGAAGGAACCAAGGGAGGGAUCGUGGGGAUGGAGGAAGGAAAUGAUAAAAACAGAAUAUUAUAAUGUAAGUAAAAAGAAUCCUUUCGAUUAAGAAUAUCGAUGUAAUAUUUAAAAUAAGAAGAUUGACAUAGAAUAUUUAUAAAAUAUUUUCAAGUGUAUUGUCUUUAUCUUGUUUCAUGAACUAUAGUCAUAUUUAUAGGACCUAGUGGUAACUACCUCACUCCAUCAUGUCACCCAUGAUUAAGUGUAGGAACUACCUCAUGGGCCACUUCUUAACACAUGCAUAUAACUACCCAGAACAUGAUAACUGCCUAGAUAACUAUUAUGAAUCAAUUCUCAACACUCCAUCUUCAUUCAUAGUUACAUACACCAAUUUGUGACAUGAAAUAGACAUGCUUUUGAACUGGAAGCGACUUGGUGAAGAUAUCUGUAACUUGUUCAUCUAUUUCACAAUACUUCGUUGCUAUGGUUCCACUUGCUAUAAGAUCCCGGAUGAAAUGAUAGCGUAUCUCUAUAUGCUUCGUUCUUCAAUGAAAUGUUGGAUUCUUCGUCAUUGUAAUUGUGGCUUUGUUGUCACAAAAUAUUUCUGUUGUUUCUUUUUGUUCUUGAUGAAGAUAUUCAAGAAGUCUUCUAAGUCAUAUUUCUUGAUAAGCUGCUGAUGUUACGGCUAUAUAUUCUGCUUUCGAUGUCGAUAAUGUAGUUGUUGCUUGCUUUUUUGAACUCCAAGAUAGCUCUUGAUCCGAGGCUAAAAAUAUUACCUAAAGUACUCUUUCUAUCAUCUAAAGCUCCUACCCAAUCACUACCAGUGAAACCAAAUAAUUUACAUUUAAAAUUAUGAGAAUACCAAAUACCAUAAUCUGUAGUUCCAACAAUAUAACGCAGAAUUUUUUUAAUAGCUCCGAGAUGAUGUUUACUUGGGCUAUGCAUAAACCUGGAUACUAUACCAACAGAGAAGGUAAUAUCUGGUCGAGUAUGAGUUAUAUAAAUUAAACCUCCAACCAAACUUCUAUAGUAUCUUGCAUUUGUCAGAUAUAUACCAUCUUCAAGUUUCAAUUUCUCAUUUACAUUCAUGGGUGUUGUUAUAGCUUUGCAAUUAAUCAUGUUAGAUUUUUUGAGUAGAUUUAUUGAAUACUUUCUUUAUGAAAUAAAAAUUCUUUAUGAUCCUUACUUCACUUCCAACCCAAGAAAAUAGUGUUGUAGGCUUAAAUAUGAUAUUUCAAACUUAUUCAUCAUGCAUUUUUUAAAUUUUGCUACAAAAGAGUUAGAUGAACCCAUAUAUAUAAUAUCAUCAACAAAAAGGAAAACCAUUAGAAUAUUAUGUUCACCUUCCUUCUUUAGAUAAAAAGUAAGUUCAUUAAUGCUCCUCUAAAACUUAUUUUGAUGAAAAUAAUAAUCAAUUUUACUGUAUCAUGCCCUUAGAGCUUGUUUAAGCCUAUAAAGAACUUUUCUUAGCUUAUACAUCCUUUCUUCAUGUAUUUUAACAAAAAAACAUUCAGGUUGAGUAAUAAAAAUCUCUUCGUGUAAAUCACUAUUUAAAAACAUAGAUUUCACAUCAAAUUGAUAAACAUGCAAACUCAUGUGAGCAGCUAAAGCCAAGAAAGUUCUCACGGUUUCAAAUCUAGCAACUGGAGAAAAAGUAUCAUCAAAAUCAAUACAUUGUUGCUGUGAAUAUCCUUUUGCUAUAAGCUGAGCUUUAUGCUUUUGGAUACUUCUAUCCGCAUUAAACUUUGUUUUGAACACCCAUUUUAAUCCAAUAGCUUUCUUUUCUUUCGGUAGAUCCAUUAGCUCCUUAAAAGUUAUAGGAUAUGAAAUAAACAAAGCAAAUGUUGAGUCAUAAAUUUUUGUUAGUGAUCUGAAAUUUCUUGGAAGAGUUUCAUCUGAGAAAUCAAAAUUUAAACUGCUAUUAGGUGAGGUUGACAAUGAACUUAUUGGAGUAGGAUCUGUCAUUUGAUUCUGUGGAGUAUCUAGUUCUGUUGGAAUCUGAAUUUAUAUUCCACCUUUAUUUAUCUCUCAAUUUUAACUUGCUCUUUCAUCAAACACAACAUUUAUGUUAAUAAUAACUUUACUACUAACAUAAUUAUAUAAUCAAUAUGCUUUGGAUCGUAAGGAAUAACCAAUUAAGAUACAUUUUUUAGUUUUUUAAUCAAACUUGUGAUGAUUUUGUAAAUUCAUCAUAGCAUAAGCAAUAUAUACCCAGCCUCAAAAUGAGUUUGAUUUAUAACAGACUUUGUUGGUGAAAUAUUCAACAAAUAAACUGUUGUUGCAAUUACUUCUGCCCCAAACUAAUUUAGAAGGUGUUUUCCUUUAAAUAACCUUCUUGUCAUUUCAACGAUAGUUCAAUUCUUACGUUCAGCAACACCAUUUUGCUCCGGUGUAUAUGGUGUUAUCAAUUCUCUAUAAAUAUUAUUUUCUUCACAAAAAAAAUAAACUCAUUAGAUAAAAAUUCACCACCUCUAUCUGUCUGAAGUGUCUUUAUAUAUCUACCACUUUACCUUUUUACAAGUGCCUUUAAUUUUUAAAAAUUAUCAAAUGUUUCAUAUUUUAGUUUCGGAAAAUAUACUCAACUUAUGUGACUACAAUCAUCAGUAAACAAUAGAAAAUAUUGACUUUCACCAAAUGAUUUUAUAUUCAUAGGUCCACAUAAGUCAACAUGAAUUAAUUCAAGACAAUUAGAUGCUCUCCAUGCUUUUCCAAUAGGAAAUGAAUUUUUACUUUGUUUGUCAUUAAUGCAUCCUUCACGUACAUCAAGUCUAUUAAUUUUAGGCAAUCUAAAAAUCAUUCCUUUUUUAUUUAACAACCUUAAACCCUUAAUGUUAAGGUAUCUAUAUCUUAAAUGUCAUAAAUUAGACUCAUUCUUUUGAGUUGUGACAAGUGCAUAUUUUUCAAUAUUUGAAAUAUCAAGUGGAAACAUCUUGUUUUGCGUCAUGCAAAUAUUUACCAUAAUCAAACUAAUUUUUUUAUCUUUAAUAGUUCAUAAAUCAUCAUCGAAUAUAACUGAAAAUCCAUCAUCUAUCAAUUGGCCAACACUCAACAAGUUAUGUAAUAAUUUGACUAUAUCAAGAAAACAUUAUCAAGAUAUUUUACCUUCCCUUGAUUUGUCUUCACCUCAAUUGUUCCUUUCCCUUCCACUUGGAUUUGCUUGUUAUCUCCAAGUUUAACUUUCAACUUAUGAGUUUCAUUAAUAUCUCUAAACAUUGAUUUUAUGCAUGACAUAUGAUUAGAACAUCUACUAUCCAAAAAUCAAAUAUCAUUUGAGAUAUCAUUAACUUGUGAAUGAGUCAUAAAUAACUUACUAUUUUUUUCAUUUUCCUCCAUGUGGCCAAAUUUUUUAUAAUAGUGACAUUGAAUUCCUUAUAAUUUUUUUAUCAUAAUUUGAUUGCAUUUGUUCAUCAUGCCCAUCAAAGUGUCCACUUCCUCUUCCUCUUCAAUUUCCUCUACCAUGAAAUCCUUCUCUAUCACAUCCUCUUCCUACUGAUUUUUUAUCUUCUUUUGAAGUAGAAGACUCCCCUUAACCUAAAAUAUUUUUCUUCACUUUUCUCAAGUGACAUGUUCAACCUUGCUUCAUGUGCUUCCAAGGAACUCAUUGGUUCAUCAAAUGAAAAUAUAGAUAAAUCUUUUGACUCCUCAAUUACGGCAACAAUAUGAUCAAAUUUCAAAGUUAAACUUUUCAAAAUUUUUGCAACAAUUAUAUGAACAGGAAGAUGUUUACCAUAAGAUUUUAUUUGACUAACAAUUUCAGUCACUCGAGAAAGAAAAUCUUGCACCGAUUUAUUGGUUUUAAUGGACAAAAUUUCGAACUUACAAUGAAAUGUUUGAAGUUUUACCAUAAUCACCCUUAAUGAGCCUUAAAAUUCAUUUUGAAGUAUCAACUAAGCUUGCUUUGAUGAUAGGGCAAUUGCUCGAGCAAGAAGGAUCGCGACCGUCGUUUCCUAGCCAGUGAACCACCCCUUCAUUGUUGAUACCGUCGGUGACGCUGCCCUAACCGCCCUGCCAUCGUGCCCCCCCUAGGUUGUAGCCGUAGUCGCCGGUUGCCUCCCUCCUCGUGGCGAUCGAAAUAGGGUAACUCGCCGAUUGCCCUUGUUCCCAACCGUGCCACCACCACUUCUCUUCCCCAUCGGACGUCAUAGCGUCGUUGCCUCCUAACCGAACCACCACCAUUGCCAGCCACCGUGUGACGACCAUCGCUCGCCUCCCAACCGUCGCUCCCCCUUGCUUUUCAUCCUUGGUGAUAGAAACAUGGCAAUCACCUUUGCUGCCGCAGUCGCCAAUCCCUCUACUACUGCAUACACUGGUUGCCACCACUAUCGUCGCUACUACCCAGCCAGCGACGACGCCGCUCGCCACCCAGCCAUGAUCCUCACAGCCUCCCCCUUGCUCUGGUGACAGAAAUAUGGCAAAUCAUUGAUUGCCCUCGUUUCUCGUAGUGCCACCGUCGAUUCCUAUUCUCCACUGUAGCCUCAACCUGGGCCACUUCAAUGCUACCUCCCUCUUGUUCUGCCUCCACUGCCACAGUCGUCGGUUGCCAUCACCACAGCUUCAACCCAACUGUUUAGCGAUCGAUCCCUUAGGUCACAGUAGUUCCAAUCGUCGCCUUCCAGCCCCCGACGCUCUCAUCUCACACAGUGGCUGAAACACAUGGCAGCACCUCUUCCUCCUCGCAGUGACCGCAGCACUGCCCUUGGCGUCCGUUUCCUCAGCAGCUUCGCAUCCACAGUCCAGAUGCCCUUGACCAAACAUCAGAAAUAAGAACUGGGGAUUACCGAUUUGCAAUCAUAUACAAUGGCUGCCAAUAACUUAGUGAAAGCACAAAUUGAAGCAUUGGAAACCAGAAUUGAGAAUCGGCUAUAAGAAACCCAUCACGAUUUCAAAAAGAGCUUGUUGGAGCACUUUAGCGGGUUUCAACAUGAUGGGAGCUCAAGUUCUACGUUGAACAGAUUUGGAGGUACAAGAAAAAUGCCCUAGGAUUAUGGCACACACUACUCACACAUUAAGGUAGAAUUUUCAUGAUGGGAAGAGGGGGAUUCGACCAGUUGGAUCUCUUGGGCGGAAUUUUUUUUUUUUUUUUCAUAAAGCCCCAGAAGAAUCCAAGGUAGAAGUAGCCUCAAUCUAGCUCAAUAGAGAUACAAUCCAAUGGUACGAUUGGUUUGAAACUUGCCACGAAGUUCCUUCAUGGGAACAGUUCAAAAGAGGGCUCCUUGUUCUCUUUGGCCCAUCCGAAUAUGAUAAUGUUGAUGGUCAGCUCAUCAAAAUUCGUCAGACUUCUACAGUAUUGGAAUAUCAUAGUAGGUUUGAAAGAUUAUCAAAUCAAACUAAAGAUUGAUCAGAAUUAUAACUUUUGGGUACAUUUAUUGAAAGGCUUAUUCUAGAGAUCCGAUAUGAAGUUAAGGCUCGUCAACCCUGCACUAUGAUAGCUGCGAUUUCAUUUGCAUGCCUACAUGAGGAAAAAAUCAGUAUGGAAUAUUGUCGAAACAGAGGUGCCAAUAAACAAGUGAUCAUCAGGCAGCCCAACCCAUCUACUCCCAAUCGAAAUCCUAACACUCGCAGACUAACCCGAGAAGAACUCAAAGAAAGGUCAACGAAGGGUUUGUGCUGGCAUUACGAUGAAAAGGGUUUGUGCUGGCAUUACGAUGAAAAGUGGAGUAAGGGUUUGUGUUGGGUCUGUGCCUACGACAAGGAUGCCGUGGUUUGGUAUGACGAGUGCCUCCUCCGCUUUUCCAACCUGCAGUUCCUCAGCACCUCAGACGACGACCCGACGACUGCCUUGGAAAACGAGAUCGCCGUAAACGACGAAGCGGAUCGGUUCAACAAGGUGG
Molecule: long non-coding RNA, 33810 nt
Filed under: Musa acuminata (dwarf banana)
Lineage: Eukaryota; Viridiplantae; Streptophyta; Magnoliopsida; Zingiberales; Musaceae
Description: long non-coding RNA (MACU_LNC005095)
Source: RNAcentral